RNAcentral lists this ribosomal RNA (440 nucleotides) under uncultured bacterium. RNAcentral's name for it is "partial 16S ribosomal RNA". It matches the Rfam family "Bacterial small subunit ribosomal RNA", at positions 339 to 795 of the family's 1533-position model. The record is from RNAcentral.
CUACGGGAGGCUCCAGUGGGGAAUAUUGCACAAUGGAGGAAACUCUGAUGCAGCAACGCCGCGUGGAGGAUGACACUUUUCGGAGCGUAAACUCCUUUUAUAUAGGAAGAAGGUGACGGUACUAUAUGAAUAAGCGCCGGCUAACUCCGUGCCAGCAGCCGCGGUAAUACGGAGGGCGCAAGCGUUACUCGGAAUCACUGGGCGUAAAGAGCGUGUAGGCGGAUUAAAAAGUCAGAAGUGAAAUCCUAUAGCUUAACUAUAGAACUGCUUCUGAAACUCUUAAUCUAGAAUAUGGGAGAGGUAGAUGGAAUUUCUGGUGUAGGGGUAAAAUCCGUAGAGAUCAGAAGGAAUACCGAUUGCGAAGGCGAUCUACUAGAACAUUAUUGACGCUGAGACGCGAAAGCGUGGGGAGCAAACAGGAUUAGAUACCCGUGUAAGUC